This 449-nucleotide ribosomal RNA is filed under the name uncultured bacterium. RNAcentral's name for it is "bacterial SSU rRNA". It matches the Rfam family "Bacterial small subunit ribosomal RNA", at positions 8 to 457 of the family's 1533-position model. The record is from RNAcentral.
AGAGUUUGAUCCUGGCUCAGAUUGAACGCUGGCGGCAUGCCUUACACAUGCAAGUCGAACGGCAGCACGGGAGCUUGCUCCUGGUGGCGAGUGGCGAACGGGUGAGUAAUAUAUCGGAACGUACCCUAGAGUGGGGGAUAACGCAGCGAAAGUUGCGCUAAUACCGCAUACGAUCUACGGAUGAAAGUGGGGGAUCGCAAGACCUCAUGCUCAUGGAGCGGCCGAUAUCUGAUUAGCUAGUUGGUAGGGUAAAAGCCUACCAAGGCUUCGAUCAGUAGCUGGUCUGAGAGGACGACCAGCCACACUGGAACUGAGACACGGUCCAGACUCCUACGGGAGGCAGCAGUGGGGAAUUUUGGACAAUGGGCGCAAGCCUGAUCCAGCAAUGCCGCGUGAGUGAAGAAGGCCUUCGGGUUGUAAAGCUCUUUUGUCAGGGAAGAAACGGUGGA